RNAcentral lists this ribosomal RNA (468 nucleotides) under uncultured bacterium. RNAcentral's name for it is "partial 16S ribosomal RNA". It matches the Rfam family "Bacterial small subunit ribosomal RNA", at positions 28 to 507 of the family's 1533-position model. The record is from RNAcentral.
GACGAACGCUGGCGGCGUGCUUAACACAUGCAAGUCGAACGGAAAGGCCCUGCUUUUGUGGGGUGCUCGAGUGGCGAACGGGUGAGUAACACGUGAGUAACCUGCCCUUGACUUUGGGAUAACUUCAGGAAACUGGGGCUAAUACCGGAUAGGAGCUCCUGCUGCAUGGUGGGGGUUGGAACGUUUCGGCGGUUGGGGAUGGACUCGCGGCUUAUCAGCUUGUUGGUGGGGUAGUGGCUUACCAAGGCUUUGACGGGUAGCCGGCCUGAGAGGGUGACCGGCCACAUUGGGACUGAGAUACGGCCCAGACUCGUACGGGAGGCAGCAGUGGGGAAUAUUGCACAAUGGGCGGAAGCCUGAUGCAGCAACGCCGCGUGCGGGAUGACGGCCUUCGGGUUGUAAACCGCUUUCGCCUGUGACGAAGCGUGAGUGACGGUAAUGGGUAAAGAAGCACCGGCUAACUACGUG